CAACAAGGGUUGAGCCACAUGGACCCCAAUAACUAAGCCUUCACCAGCUUCGCUCUCUCCCCUGUUGCCAAAUUAAUGUCGGCAGCUCGAUGCGUGAAGAGCAACAUAGGAGCAAGGCGCCAGUUUUGGAGAAAGGUGCCAGUUCUGGAACCAUCGCCCUCAUUGAAGGGAGAGAAUUUGAGGGGGUUGUAUUUAGAUUUUCCUUCAACGGCGACGCAAUCACGACGGAUUCGAGACACACACGAGAGAUCUCGUCUCAAUUUUUUUUCUUCUUUUUUGUGUGUGUGUGUGUGUGUGUGUGUUUGUAUUAGUGCAUCAGUUGCUGUGCCAACGCAACCCUUGACUCAGAUACACCCUAAUUGUUGGCACAAGUUGCCUCGGGACGAGCAACGUGAAGAAUGAAAUCAUGUGUAAUGCAUGGAAAUUUGUGGCAUAUUCUCUCGGUCUCAGCGUGUGUUAAAAUAUCUCGUCUCAACCCUAUAAAUUGGGUUGAAUCACCCAGGGUUGUUGAUUUCUAUGGGUUGGGUAGGUGGGUGUUCCACGGCGUGCCUGCUGUUGGCUUCUUCAAAACUCGCGCGUCUUUCUCUUGUGAGUUUCUGCCUUGCUGCAUGUAGUGGCUGUUGACAGUUGCUCACCCUAGAUUCCUGCACGUUCCAAUUAUGUGAAGUCCGCCAUGAUGUUUCCAUUGCCGGGGAAAAGAGGGACUAGUUUCAAUUUCACAUCUUUUAGGAAAACUCGCGAAGAUUUGUUCUUAACACGUAGAAUAAAUCAGAAUUUUUCUUCAAUGGUCCAAAAAGCCCGGAGAGGAAGCGGAAUCUGACAUAGGGCAAACGAACUAUAUUCACCAAGUAUAAGCGUCAGAAACCAGAGAUGGAAUUGGAGUUCUGCAGAAGUUGCCUUCACGCAAAACACAACAUUCCUUACAAACUACACCAUAUGGAUACAUAGAAAUGUAUAUAUAUUUUUUUGCUUUCUUCUUAUCGUCUUGUUCGAUAACCAAGGUGUCAGGUAGCAAACUUGGGAUCACAUUUAGUCGGCACAUUGUAGGGAUGGCAAAACAAAAUCCGUUGAGGAUGACAGCACCUCAUUAUGAUGAAACAGAUACAUAACAGCAAAGGCAGCAGCCCAUGGAGCUUUCCUGCAACUUCAGAUGUGGUCACUUCAGUUGAAAUCAUAAAAAUUGCCAAGAGAUCGUGACAUAGCUGAUACCAGAACCCACACCGAACCCCGAAGUGCGUUAGUUACACUAUAAGACAUCAAAUGCAGCACUAGCAAUAAAACAAGAAAUAAAAACUUUUCGUCAUCACUCUUCAUCUUGUUCCAAAUGUCAGAGCUAGUGUUACAACGGGAUGAAAACUCUUCCAUAACAAAUUGAUUUGAAUAUCCUCAACCAUGUUACAGAAUUGAUAUUCUCCAAGUAAAUGUCUGUAUAACAUGUCAAGUUAAUUAAACUAAAGUAGUUCAAGAAAUAUAACGUUAUUUCAAAGACGUCUAUGAACGCAAAUAUGCCACAGCUAUUAAAUGCAAAGGACUGUCUAUCAAACA
This 1545-nucleotide long non-coding RNA is filed under the name Physcomitrium patens. RNAcentral describes it as "long non-coding RNA (PPAT_LNC011071)". The record is from RNAcentral. Lineage: Eukaryota; Viridiplantae; Streptophyta; Bryopsida; Funariales; Funariaceae.